This 611-nucleotide ribosomal RNA is filed under the name Escherichia coli. RNAcentral's name for it is "partial 23S ribosomal RNA". It matches the Rfam family "Bacterial large subunit ribosomal RNA", at positions 2311 to 2916 of the family's 2925-position model. Lineage: Bacteria; Pseudomonadati; Pseudomonadota; Gammaproteobacteria; Enterobacterales; Enterobacteriaceae. The record is from RNAcentral.
CGAAGGUUGGCUAAUCCUGGUCGGACAUCAGGAGGUUAGUGCAAUGGCAUAAGCCAGCUUGACUGCGAGCGUGACGGCGCGAGCAGGUGCGAAAGCAGGUCAUAGUGAUCCGGUGGUUCUGAAUGGAAGGGCCAUCGCUCAACGGAUAAAAGGUACUCCGGGGAUAACAGGCUGAUACCGCCCAAGAGUUCAUAUCGACGGCGGUGUUUGGCACCUCGAUGUCGGCUCAUCACAUCCUGGGGCUGAAGUAGGUCCCAAGGGUAUGGCUGUUCGCCAUUUAAAGUGGUACGCGAGCUGGGUUUAGAACGUCGUGAGACAGUUCGGUCCCUAUCUGCCGUGGGCGCUGGAGAACUGAGGGGGGCUGCUCCUAGUACGAGAGGACCGGAGUGGACGCAUCACUGGUGUUCGGGUUGUCAUGCCAAUGGCACUGCCCGGUAGCUAAAUGCGGAAGAGAUAAGUGCUGAAAGCAUCUAAGCACGAAACUUGCCCCGAGAUGAGUUCUCCCUGACUCCUUGAGAGUCCUGAAGGAACGUUGAAGACGACGACGUUGAUAGGCCGGGUGUGUAAGCGCAGCGAUGCGUUGAGCUAACCGGUACUAAUGAACCGUGAGG